UGAUAAGUUGACUUUAUUCAAAUGGUUGUUGUACACGAAGAAAGAGAAAACACAAGAGUCAAGGCUAAGAGCUUAGUCUAACGGACAUAUAUCCAAAAAUUCUAUAAAUAGAAGAACUUUCAAAUAAAGAAGAUCAAAAGGAUAUCAUACAACGAAAUAUUCAUUUUGAUAAGCGUUCAAAAGAAAAGAAAAGAAACAGCUCAAGAAAAAAAAAAUACAUCUGAGUAGAAAAAGAUAAAAAGAGAAAAGAAAAUAAAAGAAAUACUCUCGAG
Molecule: long non-coding RNA, 272 nt
Filed under: Vigna radiata
Lineage: Eukaryota; Viridiplantae; Streptophyta; Magnoliopsida; Fabales; Fabaceae
Description: long non-coding RNA (VRAD_LNC007679)
Source: RNAcentral